Molecule: transfer RNA, 223 nt
Filed under: Nanobdellota archaeon
Lineage: Archaea; Nanobdellati; Nanobdellota
Description: tRNA-Glu
Source: RNAcentral
GCCCCGAUAGUGUAGUCCGGUAACCUUUUGGGCAAGCCAAAAGCUUAACCAAAAUUCGUGCGGCGUAAAGCCACACAGGUUGGAUAACCAAUCAUCUCGGAUUCUCGAUCCGAGGACGUGGGUUCGAAACAACCCUUAUCAGCGUUGACGGAGCUGUACGACAUUCGCUCGUAUAACUCGCUCAGUCCUACGAUAAGAGUUGGCGAAAUUCCCGCUCGGGGCA